Long non-coding RNA from Helicoverpa armigera (cotton bollworm), 914 nucleotides. RefSeq lists it as uncharacterized. The record is from RefSeq and is a predicted model, not a curated record. The transcript has 3 exons. Lineage: Eukaryota; Metazoa; Arthropoda; Insecta; Lepidoptera; Noctuidae.
GGCACGAAUUUGCAGUUACCAUUAUCACUAUUAAAAUGUCUUAAUUUUUCUAUCUGUUUAAGUGUAUUUUGAUUACAAAAUAGAAUCAAUUCAAUGCUGUCAAUAGGUCGUUUGAGGAUUUCCACUACUUUAGGUUGAUCAGGCCUUGAAGUAGAGGAUACCUCCGUAGUCAUGUCAUUGCAUAGAGCAACACAGGCCACCGGCGGACCGGAGGGGAGUAGCCAUACACAGGCGUUCCCCUCUGUCAAAGUACAAGUCCAAAUGGUCCUAUGCGUACAAUAAAACUAGUUGCAACUAAACUAUUCGCUAGACUAAAUCUAGUUGCGUGAGUGAAUCGACGUCGUCGUAAAAAAUGCCGAAUUGUUCUGUUUUUUGCUGCAAAAAGAGAUCUGCCACGUCAAAUUUACAAAAAGAUGGCGUUACCUUUCAUAUGUUUCCUAAAGAUCCAAAUUUAAGAAAUAUAUGGAAGACAUUUUCUCAUAACAGACCAACCUGGAUUCCCACAAGAAAUAGUGUCAUUUGCUCAAAUCAUUUUAAGACCUCUGACUUUCAAGUGUUGGCGAACAAUAGGAGGAGAUUAGUCGAUGGCGCCAAACCAACCGCCAACUGUAUUUGUUCCAAUCAUCGACAAUCAUUAAAUAUACCAGAUGAGAGGUUAUCAUCUAAUGGGCCCAUUAAUGACACUCGGACUAUUCCUAAUUCAUUGACAUCACCGUGUAGAUCGUCAACUCCUCAAAAUGUGAGUUGUUUUUAAAUCGUUUAUUGUAGAAUCGCAUAUUGAUAAAUUUGUCAUUCCUUCUAUUUUACUGUUGAGAUUAAGUAAAUUAUGUAAAGAUAUGAUAAGAGAUAAUUAUUUAUUCAUUUGUUUUCAGACUCAGUCAAAGGAAACAUCUAAAAAUCUGCUUCAAUUCCCA